GCUGGGUGUAGCAAUGCACACCUGUAAUCUCAGCUACUUGGGGGCUGAGGUGGGAGGAUUGCUUGAGCCCAGGAAGUGGAGGCUGCAGUGAGCUGAGAUCAUGCCACUGCCCUCCAGCCUGGGCAAUAAAGCAAGACCCUGGUUUUU
Molecule: non-coding RNA, 147 nt
Filed under: Gorilla gorilla gorilla (western lowland gorilla)
Lineage: Eukaryota; Metazoa; Chordata; Mammalia; Primates; Hominidae
Source: Rfam by way of RNAcentral